GAUGAACGCUGGCGGCGUGCCUAAUACAUGCCAGUCGAGCGAACAGACGAGGAGCUUGCUCCUCUGACGUUAGCGGCGGACGGGUGAGUAACACGUGGAUAUCCUACCUAUAAGACUGGGAUAACUUCGGGAAACCGGAGCUAAUACCGGAUAAUAUAUUGAACCGCAUGGUUCAAUAGUGAAAGACGGUUUUGCUGUCACUUAUAGAUGGAUCCGCGCCGCAUUAGCUAGUUGGUAAGGUAACGGCUUACCAAGGCAACGAUGCGUAGCCGACCUGAGAGGGUGAUCGGCCACACUGGAACUGAGACACGGUCCAGACUCCUACGGGAGGCAGCAGUAGGGAAUCUUCCGCAAUGGGCGAAAGCCUAACGGAGCAACGCCGCGUGAGUGAUGAAGGUCUUCGGAUCGUAAAACUCUGUUAUUAGGGAAGAACAAAUGUGUAAGUAACUAUGCACGUCUUGACGGUACCUAAUCAGAAAGCCACGGCUAACUACGUG
Molecule: ribosomal RNA, 497 nt
Filed under: uncultured bacterium
Lineage: Bacteria
Description: partial 16S ribosomal RNA
Rfam family: Bacterial small subunit ribosomal RNA
Source: RNAcentral